RNAcentral lists this ribosomal RNA (618 nucleotides) under Triticum aestivum (bread wheat). RNAcentral's name for it is "partial small subunit ribosomal RNA". The record is from RNAcentral. Lineage: Eukaryota; Viridiplantae; Streptophyta; Magnoliopsida; Poales; Poaceae.
AUGGUGGGCGAGGCAUCGAGCUAUUCACGACGAGCAGUUUCAGAGCCCCCUAAGCACCCAUAUUUUCAUCACCAAAUUUUGGCGGAGCUAGAUCAGAUCCCAGAAAGGGGGGCACGUACCAGGGACCUGCAUGCACAAUCUAAGGACUUGCAUGUAAUGUCCAGGGGCAUGCAUGCAAUGCCCAGGGACUCACAUGAAGCAACUGCAGGUGUGGGAAAGCCAGCGCGCUGUGCAUGGCUGCCGCCGGUGGUCCACUCUGCCAAGAUUAACACAGACGGCGGGUUUUCCAAGAUAGGAGACAAAGGUGCUUCAGCUGUGGUGUGUCGCGAUAAAAACGGGAACUACCUAGGGGCCUCAGCGAUCAUUUUUGAAGGCCUUCUGGAUCCGGUGAUUCUCGAAGCACAGGCUUGUAGCGAGGCACUAGCACUCGCUUCAGAUCUACAAGUUCAGUGUAUAUGUGUGGCCACAGAUUGCCUAGAAGCUGUAUCAUGGAUCAAGGACGACUCCCCAUGCAAGUUUUACCCAAUUUUCAAGAUAUCAAGCACCAAAGAGCAGCGUUUAGUGCUGUGGAGUUUAUCCACGAGAGUCGGAAACAUAAUGGAGAGGCUCAUGCGUUAG